Molecule: long non-coding RNA, 565 nt
Organism: Mesocricetus auratus (golden hamster)
Lineage: Eukaryota; Metazoa; Chordata; Mammalia; Rodentia; Cricetidae
Exons: 3
Source: RefSeq, a predicted model, not a curated record
UUCUAACGGCAAUAGCGAUAGCGAGGGCGGCUCCUCACAGUCUCUAAUUUUCCUUCCACAUCCUGAAGAAAGCAAAACCUGCUUUGGCCACUCUGUCACUAGCUAACAGCAGGUUUUCCCCAUGGGCUGAGCCAGGGCCUUGAACAUUCCAGGCUACUGACCGAGGUGUUUGGGCCAUGGCCCAAAACACUGAAAGUCACUGGUGCCAACACCAAGUCCAAGUUCCUUAGACCUUCAUGUGAACUCCAACUGCGACUUCUUACUCCCAGAUGUCCUGGGAAUGAAAUAGGGACCAGUUGUGUUCUAGGCUGUGGCUGUGCAUUCUCUCCAUCUUCAAAGCAUCCAAGUGACAAGUGACAUCGCUGCUUUCCUUGUCUACAUUGUAUGGAUGGUGAAAACCAAGACACCAGAAGCAGUCAAGAGAUUACACCAGUGUUGGCCUCUCCAGAAGUCUGCUUGGAUGUACUCAGUGUAUGGCAGCUGUGUUUCUUGAGAGCUAAAGAUACUUGUGACCUGCUGUGGCAAACAGAAUUCCAAGACAGCCCCCAAUACUCAAGGAGGAGAU